UAUUGUGUAAUGCACCGGAAGCGGGAAGUGUGUGCGAUCAUGGCGGACUCACGCGGCGUCCUGCCGGCUCUGCCCAAACAUUCGUACUGGUUUGACUUCUGGAUGUUUCUGCUGUUCGAUGUGGUUCUUUUCCUCAUCUUUUACUUCGUCCUUCCCUGAGCGCCGUCUGUCUCCUGCGCGCUUCACCGAGUGCCUGAUCCUCAGACGAUGGACGGAUCUGGAGGACUGGCUCUCGUCCUGAACGCUAAACACAUUCCCUGCUCUACUCACACGCUGAAAUGCAUUUAAUAACCGGAAGUCUAACACGGGCCCUUCUGGCUCCCACUGUGAGGAAUCACUAAUCAAGAAGAUGCACCUUCAGCAGUCUGGAUGCUUCAGACACGUUAUCCUGGAACCUAGAAAUACCACUGAAUUAAAGCCUGAAUAAUUAAAUCAGUGUGACUUCUAAAUGUUUUGUUUUUCUUUUCUUUUUCUCAUAUGAAACAUAAUCGAUUAAAACAGGCCAGAGCAACAAUAUCAGACAUUAUUAAACUUAUUGAAUAAAAUGUCCAGAAAAUGA
Long non-coding RNA from Sinocyclocheilus grahami, 559 nucleotides. RefSeq lists it as uncharacterized. NCBI's taxonomy places the organism in Eukaryota, Metazoa, Chordata, Actinopteri, Cypriniformes, Cyprinidae. The record is from RefSeq and is a predicted model, not a curated record. The transcript is spliced from 3 exons.